UACAGAGGUCUCAAGCGUUGUUCGGAUUCAUUGGGCGUAAAGGGUGCGUAGGCGGCGCGGUAAGUCGGGAGUGAAAUGUCGGAGCUUAACUCCGAAACUGCAUUCGAUACUGCCGUGCUUGAGGACUGGAGAGGAGACUGGAAUUUACGGUGUAGCAGUGAAAUGCGUAGAGAUCGGAAGGAAGACCAGUGGCGAAGGCGGGUCUCUGGACAGUUCCUGACGCUGAGGCACGAAGGCCAGGGGAGCAAACGGG
Molecule: ribosomal RNA, 253 nt
Filed under: uncultured bacterium
Lineage: Bacteria
Description: partial 16S ribosomal RNA
Rfam family: Bacterial small subunit ribosomal RNA
Source: RNAcentral